This 580-nucleotide long non-coding RNA is filed under the name Homo sapiens (human). RNAcentral's name for it is "non-protein coding lnc-AP3M1-6:1". The record is from RNAcentral. Lineage: Eukaryota; Metazoa; Chordata; Mammalia; Primates; Hominidae.
UGGCGGGUCGGCAAGGCACAGCACACGACCUGGUGGACCAGCCACUGGGAACAAUGAGUCUAUGGUGGCCAAAUCCAGCCUUGUCCUCCACUUUGUCAAGGGACAAUUUCAAGAGUACCAGGAGAGCAUAAUCAGAGCAGCCUUCCUUACACAGACUGUCUGCUUAGACGACACAAUAGUCAAGUUUGAGAUCUGGGGCAGCGCUGGACAGGAGCGGUAUCAUAGCCCAGCCCCCAUGUACUAUGAAAUCACCAAAAAAGAUACAUUUGCACCAGCCAAGAAAUGGGUGAAGGAGCUAGAGAGGCAGGCCAGCCCCAACAUUGUCACUGUACUUGUGGGUAACAAGGCAGACCUGGCCAGCAAGAAAGCCCCAGAAUUCCACGAAGCACAGGACUAUGCAGACGACGACAGUUGACUAUGGAGACAUCAGUAAAGACUGCAAUGAACGUGAAUGAAGUUUACACGGCGAGAGCUAAGAAGAUUCCUAAUAAGCCCCAGAGUGCACCUGGUGCUCCAGGCCAAAACUGAGGUACGGACCUCCAGAAGAACCACCCAGCCAGCAAGAGCCAGUGCUGCAGCA